AGAGUUUGAUCCUGGCUCAGGAUGAACGCUGGCGGCGUGCUUAACACAUGCAAGUCGAACGAACCUUCGGGUUAGUGGCGGACGGGUGAGUAACGCGUGAGAAUCUGCCCUCAGGAGGGGGAUAACGGCUGGAAACGGCCGCUAAUACCCCAUAUGCCGCGAGGUGAAAUGAAUUUCGCCUGAGGAUGAGCUCGCGUCUGAUUAGCUAGUUGGUGGGGUAAAGGCCUACCAAGGCAUCGAUCAGUAGCUGGUCUGAGAGGAUGAUCAGCCACACUGGGACUGAGACACGGCCCAGACUCCUACGGGAGGCAGCAGUGGGGAAUUUUCCGCAAUGGGCGAAAGCCUGACGGAGCAACGCCGCGUGAGGGAUGAAGGCCUCUGGGCUGUAAACCUCUUUUAUCAAGGAAGAAGAUCUGACGGUACUUGAUGAAUAAGCCACGGCUAAUUCCGUGCCAGCAGCCGCGGUAAUACGGGAGUGGCAAGCGUUAUCCGGAAUUAUUGGGCGUAAAGCGUCCGCAGGCGGCCCUUCAAGUCUGCUGUUAAAAAGUGGAGCUUAACUCCAUCAUGGCAGUGGAAACUGUUGGGCUUGAGUGUGGUAGGGGCAGAGGGAAUUCCCGGUGUAGCGGUGAAAUGCAUAGAUAUCGGGAAGAACACCAGUGGCGAAGGCGCUCUGCUGGGCCAUCACUGACGCUCAUGGACGAAAGCCAGGGGAGCGAAAGGGAUUAGAUACCCCUGUAGUCCUGGCCGUAAACGAUGAACACUAGGUGUCGGGGGAAUCGACCCCCUCGGUGUCGUAGCCAACGCGUUAAGUGUUCCGCCUGGGGAGUACGCACGCAAGUGUGAAACUCAAAGGAAUUGACGGGGGCCCGCACAAGCGGUGGAGUAUGUGGUUUAAUUCGAUGCAACGCGAAGAGCCUUACCAGGGUUUGACAUCCUGCGAAUCUCUUGGAAACAAGAGAGUGCCUUCGGGAACGCAGUGACAGGUGGUGCAUGGCUGUCGUCAGCUCGUGUCGUGAGAUGUUGGGUUAAGUCCCGCAACGAGCGCAACCCACGUCUUUAGUUGCCAGCAUUCAGUUGGGCACUCUAGAGAGACCGCCGGUGAUAAACCGGAGGAAGGUGUGGAUGACGUCAAGUCAUCAUGCCCCUUACAUCCUGGGCUACACACGUACUACAAUGCUACGGACAAAGGGCAGCAAGUUCGCGAGGACAAGCAAAUCCCAUAAACCGUGGCUCAGUUCAGAUCGUAGGCUGCAACUCGCCUACGUGAAGGCGGAAUCGCUAGUAAUCGCAGGUCAGCAUACUGCGGUGAAUACGUUCCCGGGCCUUGUACACACCGCCCGUCACACCAUGGAAGUUGGCCACGCCCGAAGCCGUUACUCCAACCCUUGUGGAGGAGGACGUCAAAGGUGGGGCUGAUGACUGGGGUGAAGUCGUAACAAGGUAACC
This 1446-nucleotide ribosomal RNA is filed under the name uncultured bacterium. RNAcentral describes it as "bacterial SSU rRNA". It matches the Rfam family "Bacterial small subunit ribosomal RNA". The record is from RNAcentral.